GCUGGCUGGCUGACUGGCUGACUGGCUGGCUUGACUGGCUGCCAGAUUGUCCUUGCACCAACGCCCCGCCAAACAACAAACUGUUGCUUCUCAGCUGUUUGCCAAUUGCCCCAAUGGCCCACAUUACCCCUGCGAGGCGCUUGCGCAAUGCAAAAAUUUAGCACAGUUCCUGCCGGGCCUGGGCUACGGGUUGGCCCCUGCGCGCAACAGUUUGGGGCAUUCUUAUGCUCGAUUUGGGAUAUUUGAUAGCUGUUGCUUCGCGCCGGAGUCGAGUCCGUUGACGAGCCCGAGCGUAAGUCUCGAGUCUCAGUCUGUUUGGGGACUUCACUGCGUGCGAACGUGCGAGAAUUUUAAACGCGUCUAACAAGUGAAAUCCACGCCGAACGAUUCGAACAUACAAACAGUGCGUUCAAAACAUUUUUGAAGUGACAAAUAUCACGUAUACGUCGAGUGUUAAGCGCUGCGGCUUGAGCUUUAGUUAUAACAGCUGGCUGUUGCGGUAAACAGUGGGUGCGACACGUUAACGGUAACUGGUGCUGGCAUUGGAACCGGAAACGGAAGUGCUCAUAGUCGGCUGGCGGUGCACAGUGCGGGCAGCAACACGGCAACAACGGCGGCCAGAAUUUUUUCACGUUUGGAUAGCGUCGAGGAGGUGCAACGCAGUCGCAGUGGCAGCGCUGUUGGAAUAACGCCCGGCAGUGGUGCAGUGGCAGCGGCAGCGGCAGCGGUGGCAGCGGGUUCACCAGCCAGAACUGGCCAGCAGCAGCAGGCUCAGGUCGGCGGUGUCUACGGCAGUGUGGGCAGUGUGGGCGGU
Non-coding RNA from Drosophila virilis, 814 nucleotides. The record is from RefSeq and is a predicted model, not a curated record. NCBI's taxonomy places the organism in Eukaryota, Metazoa, Arthropoda, Insecta, Diptera, Drosophilidae.